AAAAAUUGGGGUAUGCAUGAGUGCAUGAUAUUUCAAUGGUGUGACCGCAAAUUUGUUGUAACACUCCGGUUUCAGGAAUAUGGUGAUGCAUACAAAGAGGUUUAAAAGAAUUGAUUUGGUCACUUAUGCCACCAAAAUGCACUUACCUUGUUGGUCAAACAUCCUAAGAAAACUUUACAAUUAAGAGUGAUUGGGUUGUGGAGUAAUUUCAGAAUGAGUGACCUUCUAGGAAGUAAUUGUCGGAACUGUGCGAAUGAGGACAAAACAUGGAGAAAGAAUAUCUGGUAAUUUAUAAGGUCGGUAAACAAGUAUUUAAAGCCUUCCAGACAUAGUGGACCGACCAUUGGCAGGGAUGGAUCCAUGGGUCCGUGAAAGGAUGUGAAGCCCGCUGAUAGAGAUGGCCGGGGCGUUACAUUUGUGAUGUUUGAUGAUUCUUUACAUGUGGAACCAUGUGUAAAGUUCUUAGAAAGCAGCUAUGAAAUGGGUUAAAGAAAUUGGAAUAAAGAG
RNAcentral lists this small RNA (507 nucleotides) under Arabidopsis thaliana (thale cress). RNAcentral's name for it is "ATSL192210". The record is from RNAcentral. Lineage: Eukaryota; Viridiplantae; Streptophyta; Magnoliopsida; Brassicales; Brassicaceae.